This 525-nucleotide ribosomal RNA is filed under the name Mantidactylus atsimo. RNAcentral describes it as "partial 16S ribosomal RNA". It matches the Rfam family "Bacterial large subunit ribosomal RNA", at positions 1854 to 2597 of the family's 2925-position model. Lineage: Eukaryota; Metazoa; Chordata; Amphibia; Anura; Mantellidae. The record is from RNAcentral.
CAGCCUGCCCAGUGACAAAAUUCAACGGCCUCGGUACUCUGACCGCGCGAAGGUAGCAUAAUCACUUGUUCUUUAAAUAAGGACUUGUAUCAACGGCAUCACGAGGGUUGCACUGUCUCCUUUUUCUAAUCAGUGAAACUAAUCUCCCCGUGAAGAAGCGGGGAUACUACUAUAAGACGAGAAGACCCCAUGGAGCUUUAAACCCAACUACACCCCUAUUCCUAAUAACUACUUAAUCAAUUGGACACUGUAUGCUUGGUUUUAGGUUGGGGCGACCACGGAGUAAAAACCAACCUCCAUGAUGAACGGACUUACCCCUUAUCUAAGAGCCACAGCUCUAAGAAUUAGAACACUAACAUAAAAUGAUCCUUUCUUGAUCAACGAACCAAGUUACCCUGGGGAUAACAGCGCAAUCCAUUUCAAGAGCCCCUAUCGACAAAUGGGUUUACGACCUCGAUGUUGGAUCAGGAUAUCCUGGUGGUGUAGCAGCUACCAAAGGUUCGUUUGUUCAACGAUUAAAAUCCU